Non-coding RNA from Cherax quadricarinatus, 1621 nucleotides. The record is from RefSeq and is a predicted model, not a curated record. Lineage: Eukaryota; Metazoa; Arthropoda; Malacostraca; Decapoda; Parastacidae.
UGAAGAAAUAUGAAAGACAUGAAGUGCUGGAAGUGAAGUGAGAAGUGAAAUGAGAAGUGAAGUGAGAAGUGAAAUGAGAAGUGAAGUGAGAAGUGAAAUGAGAAGUGAAGUGAGAAGUGAAAUGAGAAGUGAAGUGAGAGGUGAGGUGAGAGGUGUGUUACAGCGGCUAUGGUAGAGUUACGAAGAUCAAGGAAACAUUCCUGACUGAGAAAGAAUGCGUCUACUGAUUGUUUCUGAUCUUAAAAUAUUUUAGUAAUCAUUUAAGAAUUUAGUAGCAUUUGUUGCUUCAUAUUUUUGUGAAGAAGUUUUCUCAAUUUAAUUUACAUUUAUUUUUUUUCCUGUUCGUUUUUCAUUAUUGUUUUUAUUUAUCUUGAACCAAAUGGAGUGAUGAACAUGAACAGGUAGUGGGUAUCUCGUUCGUCAACAGGUAGUGGGUAUCUCGUUCGUCAACAGGUAGUGGGUAUCUCGGUCGUCAACAGGUAGUGGGUAUCUCGGUCGUCAACAGGUAGUGGGUAUCUCGGUCGUCAACAGGUAGUGGGUAUCUCGGUCGUCAACAGGUAGUGGGUAUCUCGGUCGUCAACAGGUAGUGGGCAUCAUGGUCGUCAACAGGUAGUUGGCAUCACGGUCGUCAACAGGUAGUGGCCAUCAUGGUCGUCAACAGGUAGUGGGCAUCAUGGUCGUCAACAGGUAGUGGGCAUCAUGGUCGUCAACGGGUAGUAGGCAUCACGGUCGUCAACAGGUAGUGGCCAUCAUGGUCGUCAACAGGUAGUGGCCAUCAUGGUCGUCAACAGGUAGUGGGCAUCAUGGUCGUCAACAGGUAGUAGGCAUCACGGUCGUCAACAGGUAGUAGGCAUCACGGUCGUCAACAGGUAGUGGGCAUCACGGUCGUCAACAGGUAGUAGGCAUCACGGUCGUCAACAGGUAGUGGGCAUCACGGUCGUCACAGGUAGUAGGCAUCACGGUCGUCAACAGGUAGUGGGCAUCACGGUCGUCAACAGGUAGUAGGCAUCACGGUCGUCAACAGGUAGUAGGCAUCACGGUCGUCAACAGGUAGUAGGCAUCACGGUCGUCAACAGGUAGUAGGCAUCACGGUCGUCAACGGGUAGUAGGCAUCACGGUCGUCAACGGGUAGUAGGCAUCACGGUCGUCAACAGGUAGUAGGCAUCACGGUCGUCAACAGGUAGUAGGCAUCACGGUCGUCAACGGGUAGUAGGCAUCACGGUCGUCAACAGGUAGUAGGCAUCACGGUCGUCAACAGGUAGUAGGCAUCACGGUCGUCAACGGGUAGUAGGCUUCACGGUCGUCAACGGGUAGUAGGCUUCACGGUCGUCAACAGGUAGUAGGCUUCACGGUCGUCAACAGGUAGUAGGCUUCACGGUCGUCAACGGGUAGUAGGCUUCACGGUCGUCAACAGGUAGUAGGCAUCACGGUCGUCAACAGGUAGUAGGCUUCACGGUCGUCAACAGGUAGUAGGCUUCACGGUCGUCAACAGGUAGUAGGCUUCACGGUCAACAGGUAGUAGGCUUCACGGUCGUCAACGGGUAGUAGGCUUCACGGUCGUCAACAGGUAGUAGGCUUCACGGUCGUCAACAGGUAGUAGGCAUCACGGUCGUCAACAGGU